Nothobranchius furzeri (turquoise killifish) is the source of this 3400-nucleotide non-coding RNA. NCBI's taxonomy places the organism in Eukaryota, Metazoa, Chordata, Actinopteri, Cyprinodontiformes, Nothobranchiidae. The record is from RefSeq and is a predicted model, not a curated record.
CAUAUUGAAGCAUUGUACAUAGGCUAAACAUGUCAGCUUCACGUGCAUGCAACAUGUAUGAACAAUAAUACAACUGAACUAUUUUAUUAGUAACGAAAUAUGUAAUGAGGUAAUGUUCAGUGAUGGUUUGUUAUUUUUUUUUAUUUCAGAAUGGAACUCAACAAAAUCCUUAACACAAGGCCUUCUUCCCCAUACUGGACUCCUCCACCUUUACACGUCCAUGUACUGGCUGAGAGGGAAAGUGCCCGUGUAGUUUCCUGGGAGUUUGGAAUAGAUUCGGCUGAGGCCAAAAUAACAAAAAUUAACAAAGUGGUGGCCAUCACAGAUGGCCACACAGUGUCUAAAGUGACAUUAUUUGAGGAAUUGCGACACAAAUUGGAAGAAAAAAAAAACUACAUAAUUAAAAAUUAUUAUUUAAAAGGAGACACCCCACCACUACACAUUAUGGUCAGUAAAAAAACCAACUUCUUUAAAAGCUCCCCAGUGGAGCUCACAUGCGAGGGCCUGCCGGAGGCAGCAAAGGCUCUACUCUUUCCAUCUUCCAAGGUGGUGAAACUGAUGGAAUGGAAAGGUGUUGGUGGCCUCCUGACUGUUGAAGGUCAGGUUGUACAAGUAAGUUUUUUAUUAUUUCUCAUGCAAACAGUAGACCAUUUCCUGGAAGUUUAAUACCAUGUACAUCUUUGGGGUGGGGGAUUACACACAUAAAGAUUUACAAAUAGUAAAUAUCUUUAAAUUGUUGCUUUGUUUCUCUAAUAAUAAUGGUGGAUGAAAGGACUGAGACACCUGUCCUCCAGCUGUAUGUUGUGUGGUCAUCAAUCUUGGGAAAGAAAACUCAGAAGCAGUUCUUUGGAUGUAGGUGGCUUUGAUGUCAGCGGUGCCUCAAACACACCUUUAAUACAGCAGCAGGAGGCAAAAUCAUUAAUGCAUCUCCAGUACAGUAACAUUACAGCUCCCAACAUGCAGGCUACUAGUCUCAACUGAGAGAUGAGAGAGCUGCGCACAUUUAAAAUGCUGGUAAUCCUAAGGUAUCAACAGAAACAUUGCACGCUAACAUAAAAAUAGCACAAUUAUUAAACAUAAAAAAACAAACCUGCACCAAAUGUCACACAAUCCAACUAUUGUGCACAAAUAAACUGAAAUAACCCAAAACAAACCUUCAAAACAGCAGGAGGCAAAAAUCAGCAACUAAUCUCCAGUAUAGCAACAUUAUAGCUCCUGCCAUUUACCAUUUAAUCUCAUUGUGUAGAUCUCCAAUGUGAAGAAGAUACGGAGUGGCGGUGGAGACGUUCCUCUGCGUCAGAUCACUUUGAAGCAGGUAAAAGUACUGGAAAUACAAAUAAAAAGCUAAAUCUCCUAAUUAUUAAUAUCACAAAAUCUGUUUGCAUCUUCUUCUGGUUUAUAAGUAAGUCCUUAAACAGCAUGUUUUGACUUUCAGGGUGACGUUCAGGCUUAUGUCUCUCUGUGGAGGGAGGCAACAUUAGAAACACCUGAACUGGGGGCCAGCAUACAGAUUUCUCACGUGAGAGGAUCCAAGGGCCAGCUGCAGUCAACUGGACACACAAAGAUUGAGAAGGUUGCAGUCCAGACCAUAAUGGUGGUUAUAGAAGUCUUGGGUGCUGAGGAGACUGAAGAAGGAGAGUUCCAGCUGCUCCUCUCCAAUGGGGAUCAACCCCACAUCAAACAAUCAUUCUGGGAACCAUUCGAAAACCUCCUUGAAAAAGGGAAACUCGUUGUAAAGUUGGAGAUCCAAGGUGGCUGGGUCACAAAAAUAGAACCCUCCACUGAAAAAAAUGAAAUGUAAGAUUUUGGAUUUUGUAAAUAGUUCCAUUUGAUGUGUAAUAUUUGGCUGUUCAAUGUUAAGAUGUUAGUAGAAUUGUUAGGUAUUUAGAAAAAAAAUUGCUGUUAUGUUCUAUAGGUAUUUGGUUAAUAUUUAGUAGCUUUUUGAUGUUUCUUUAGGUGUUUAGUCUGUGGCUGUAUUAAUUUUACUUAAUCAAAUAAUCUGUAAAUAUUCUAACAACAGAUUAAAGUCAUGUUAAAACCCUACUUUUUGUCACUAUGUGAUGUUUUGUUUUAUAUUUUCUCAGAAUCCAGGUCACCUCGGUGACCUAAAGUGAGUUUAUUAAUCCAGGAGAUUUCACAUAGAUGUGAUCUGUUUGACCUCAUUGUUCUGAGAUCAUCUUGGAAUUUUUAGUUCAGUUUGACUUCCAUCUCAACACUGAGCCAUGAUGUGUGAGUUUACCUGGUGCCAGAGCACAUAUGUGAAACACCUACAUACCAGCUGACACCCCACAUUGAUAUAAGUUCUGGGAGAGGUGUCUAACCCAAGACAGGCAGAAUCAACCUCAGAAUGAUGGGAAAAAGAUUUUAUUUUGGAUAACGAUAACUAAAAGCACACUGGGCAUUCCAGUGGUUAGGAGCUGGGAAUGCAGCAUCUGGAGGGGGAAGAGCAGAAGGAGGUGAGUCCUGAGGAGUAAGUCACUACCAGAAGGUGCAGCGUAGAGACUUAAUGAGUGAUGUGGGAUUAGGGCAGAGGUGAUGGUAAUGAGCUGGGGUGUAUAUGUGUGCGUGUGUGUGUGUGGGGGAGGGGGUCCCAAGGAUGGAGAGGGAGCGUUGGGAGAGAGCGGGUCUGUCAGGAUGGAUGGAUGAAUGUGGCAGAGAGAUUCCAGUGUCCUAUUGAGUAGUGGUGGUGAAUCCUGAUGUGCUGAGACCUGAGGCAGGUGAGCAAAAUGCACAAAAAUCACGCCAGAAUCAACAUUAUUCUGACUUGGAAACUAAAAACUUAAAAGGUGAAUGCAGCACACUGUACGUAGGGUAACAUUCCACUGAAUGUUUAUAUAUGUGUGUGUGUGUGUGUGUGUGUGUGUGUGUGUGUGUGUGUGUGUGUGUGUGUGUGUGUGUGUGUGUGUGUGAGAGUGUGUGUGUGUGUGCGCGCGUGUGUGGGUCUGUGUGUGUGCACAAUUCAGUAUUUUAAAUACUGUCAACUGAGUUAAUAAAUUGGUCAGUAAUUCAUGAAUUAGGAUUGUUUGUUUGUCAUAGUUUUAUAAAUGCUCCCUAGUUCAGAUUUUUUUGGGAAAGAGGAGAACAUGUCAGGGCUUUAGUUGCAGUUAGUGAGUCAGAGAACUAGUUAAAUAAAUAAAAUAAAAUGUAUUCUAUAAAACUUGUAAAUGUAAAAGUGAAAAAUGGUUUAGUUAAACCUUAAUGGUUAACCUUAAGCUAAAAUCUUUACACAAUGUGCUCUGAUACCCACAGCUGGAUAGCUGGAUGCUAAAUUUGGAAAAUGAUUGCUGAAGUUGUUGAACAGCUGAAGUAAGCUGAAACUAAGCUAAACUGUCAAAUGAGCUGAAUGUAGUGAAAGAUGUGAAAGCAAAAAGCACAAAGAAGCAAAAAAAAAGAACAAAAA